UUUAAGGUCUAACCUGCCCAAUGAGGAUUUAAAUGGCCGCAGUAUUUUGACUGUGCAAAGGUAGCAUAAUUAUUAGUUUUUUAAUUGAAAGCUUGUAUGAAGGGUUGGACGAGAUAAAAUCUGUCUUUAUUUAAAUUAAAGUAAAAUUUAACUUUUAAGUCAAAAGGCUUAAAUGUUUAUAAAAGACGAGAAGACCCUAUAGAUCUUUAUUUAUUUAAGAUUUUAAUAAUUUAGGAUUAUUUUAAUUUGAAGUUUUAAAUAAAUUUUAUUGGGGUAAUAUAAAGAUUAAAUAAAUUCUUUUUAUUUAUUACAUUGAUUUAUGAAUAUAUGAUCCAUUAAUAUUGAUUAUAAGAUUAAGUUACCUUAGGGAUAACAGCGUAAUUUUUUUGGAGAGCUCAUAUCGAUAAAAAAGUUUGCGACCUCGAUGUUGGAUUAAAAAUUAGCUUGGGUGCAGAAGUUCAAGAUUUUGGUCUGUUCGACCAUUAAAUUUUUACAUGAUCUGAGUUCAGACCGGCGUAAGCCAGGUCGGUUUCUAUCUUUAUUUAAAUAAAAUGUUUUAGUACGAAAGGACCAAAUAUUUAAUAUAGUUAUAUUUAUUUAUUGAAGAAUAUU
Molecule: ribosomal RNA, 612 nt
Filed under: Cicindela (Rivacindela) sp. JP-208
Lineage: Eukaryota; Metazoa; Arthropoda; Insecta; Coleoptera; Carabidae
Description: partial 16S ribosomal RNA
Rfam family: Bacterial large subunit ribosomal RNA
Source: RNAcentral